UACGUAGGGUGCGAGCGUUGUCCGGAAUUAUUGGGCGUAAAGGGCUCGUAGGCGGUUUGUCGCGUCGGGAGUGAAAACCCAGGGCUUAACCCUGGGCUGGCUUUCGAUACGGGCAGACUAGAGGUAUGCAGGGGAGAACGGAAUUCCUGGUGUAGCGGUGAAAUGCGCAGAUAUCAGGAGGAACACCGGUGGCGAAGGCAGCCUUCUGGGCCAACACUGACGCUCAUGCACGAAAGCGUGGGGAGCAAACAGG
Molecule: ribosomal RNA, 253 nt
Filed under: uncultured bacterium
Lineage: Bacteria
Description: partial 16S ribosomal RNA
Rfam family: Bacterial small subunit ribosomal RNA
Source: RNAcentral